UUCUUGCCACCGUCCUUCUCGGACGCUUCUCGCUCCUCCCGGAUGUGAGCGUUUCCUUACUCGGCCCACAACGCUCUGUCGAGCACCUCCGCGAAGGUAGUGAGCUUCAAUAUAUGCACCGCCCGGUAGAUAUCAGCCCGGAGCCCUCGCUCGAACCAAUCGGCUCGAUCCCUGUCAUCCCGCACUACGUCGGGGACGCAGUCAAUGAUGUGAGAGAACUCCCGCUCAUAUUCCGCUACCGUGCGG
Molecule: long non-coding RNA, 246 nt
Filed under: Ananas comosus (pineapple)
Lineage: Eukaryota; Viridiplantae; Streptophyta; Magnoliopsida; Poales; Bromeliaceae
Description: long non-coding RNA (ACOM_LNC044622)
Source: RNAcentral